AUCGAGGGUGGUGGGGUCAUGACGAGACCAGAAGAGGGCGAGGAGGGCGGGGUAGGGGCAGGCGGCGGGGUCGAAGUGCACGCGGACGACCUCGGCGUGGCCGGUGUCGCCGCCGCAGACGGCCCUGUAGGUGGGAUCCGGGAGGUGGCCCUGCGAGUACCCCACCUCGGUCUUCACCACCCCUUCCAGGCGCUGGAAGGCCAGUUCCAGCCCCCAGAAGCACCCCGCUGCAAAUUGCGCCAGGUGGAGGCCGGGCUGUGCCGGCGAGUCUAGGUCCGAUGCCAGAGCCGAGUUCGCACCUUCCGCCGUCGCCGCCAUUCUGC
Molecule: long non-coding RNA, 323 nt
Filed under: Musa acuminata (dwarf banana)
Lineage: Eukaryota; Viridiplantae; Streptophyta; Magnoliopsida; Zingiberales; Musaceae
Description: long non-coding RNA (MACU_LNC000744)
Source: RNAcentral